UACGAAGGGUGCAAGCGUUACUCGGAAUUACUGGGCGUAAAGAGUGUGUAGGCGGUGCUCUAAGUUCGGUGUGAAGUCUCCUGGCUCAACUGGGAGGGUGCGCCGGAAACUGGAGUGCUUGAGCGUGGGAGAGGAAAGCGGAAUUCCUGGUGUAGCGGUGAAAUGCGUAGAUAUCAGGAGGAACACCUGUGGUGUAGACGGCUUUCUGGACCAUAGCUGACGCUGAGACACGAAAGCGUGGGUAGCAAACAGG
RNAcentral lists this ribosomal RNA (253 nucleotides) under uncultured bacterium. RNAcentral's name for it is "partial 16S ribosomal RNA". It matches the Rfam family "Bacterial small subunit ribosomal RNA", at positions 524 to 776 of the family's 1533-position model. The record is from RNAcentral.